Molecule: non-coding RNA, 72 nt
Organism: Nippostrongylus brasiliensis
Lineage: Eukaryota; Metazoa; Nematoda; Chromadorea; Rhabditida; Heligmosomidae
Source: Rfam
GUCUCAGUAGCAUAGUGGUUAGUGCACAGUCCCGGAAAGGUUGAGACGCGGGUUCGAUUCCCGCCUGAGAUG